RNAcentral lists this ribosomal RNA (858 nucleotides) under uncultured bacterium. RNAcentral's name for it is "bacterial SSU rRNA". It matches the Rfam family "Bacterial small subunit ribosomal RNA", at positions 8 to 916 of the family's 1533-position model. The record is from RNAcentral.
AGAGUUUGAUCAUGGCUCAGAGCGAACGCUGGCGGCAGGCCUAACACAUGCAAGUCGAACGGUCUUCGGGACAGUGGCAGACGGGUGAGUAACACGUGGGAACGUGCCCUUUGGUUCGGAAUAACUCAGGGAAACCUGGAUUAAUACCGGAUGAGCCCUACGGGGGAAAGAUUUAUCGCCAAAGGAGCGGCCCGCGUCUGAUUAGCUAGUUGGUGGGGUAAAGGCCCACCAAGGCUUCGAUCAGUAGCUGGUCUGAGAGGAUGAUCAGCCACACUGGGACUGAGACACGGCCCAGACUCCUACGGGAGGCAGCAGUGGGGAAUCUUGCGCAAUGGGCGAAAGCCUGACGCAGCCAUGCCGCGUGAAUGAUGAAUGUCUUAGGAUUGUAAAAUUCUUUCACCGGGGAAGAUAAUGACGGUACCCGGAGAAGAAGCCCCGGCUAACUUCGUGCCAGCAGCUGCGGUAAUACGAAGGGGGCUAGCGUUGCUCGGAUUUACUGGGCGUAAAGGGCGCGUAGGCGGACAGUUAAGUCAGAGGUGAAAGCCCAGGGCUCAACCCUGGAAUUGCCUUUGAUACUGGCUGUCUUGAGUGCGGGAGAGGUGUGUGGAACUCCGAGUGUAGAGGUGAAAUUCGUAGAUAUUCGGAAGAACACCAGUGGCGAAGGCGACACACUGGCCCGUAACUGACGCUGAGGCGCGAAAGCGUGGGGAGCAAACAGGAUUAGAUACCCUGGUAGUCCACGCCGUAAACGAUGAGUGCUAGUUGUCGGCAUGCAUGCAUGUCGGUGACGCAGCUAACGCAUUAAGCACUCCGCCUGGGGAGUACGGUCGCAAGAUUAAAACUCAAAGGAAUUGACGG